This 441-nucleotide ribosomal RNA is filed under the name uncultured bacterium. RNAcentral's name for it is "partial 16S ribosomal RNA". It matches the Rfam family "Bacterial small subunit ribosomal RNA", at positions 338 to 795 of the family's 1533-position model. The record is from RNAcentral.
CCUACGGGAGGCAGCAGUGGGGAAUAUUGCACAAUGGGGGAAACUCUGAUGCAGCAACGCCGCGUGCAGGAAGACGGUUCUCUGAUUUUAAACUUCUGUUUUUAGUGAAGUAUAAUGACGUUCGCUAAUGAGCAUGCCACGGCUAACUACGUGCCAGCAGCCUCGGUAAUACGUAGGUGGCAAGCGUUGUCCGGAAUUACUGGGUGUAAAGGGAGCGUAGGCGGACUUUUAAGUGAGAGGUGAAAUACUCGGGCUCAACUUGAGUGCUGCAUUUCAAACUGGAAGUCUAGAGUGCAGUAGAGGAGAAUGGAAUGCAUGGUGUAGCGGUGAAAUGCGUAGAGAUUAGGAAGAACACCAGUGGCGAAGGCGAUUCUCUGGACUGUAACUGACGCUGAGGCUCGAAAGCGUGGGGAGCAAACAGGAUUAGAUACCCCGGUAGUC